UACGUAGGGUGCAAGCGUUGUCCGGAAUUAUUGGGCGUAAAGAGCUCGUAGGCGGUUUGUCGCGUCUGCUGUGAAAACCCGAGGCUCAACCUCGGGCCUGCAGUGGGUACGGGCAGACUAGAGUGCGGUAGGGGAGAGUGGAAUUCCCGGUGUAGCGGUGAAAUGCGCAGAUAUCGGGAAGAACACCCGUGGCGAAGGCGGCUCUCUGGGACGGUACUGACGCUGAGACGCGAAAGCGUGGGGAGCGAACAGG
Molecule: ribosomal RNA, 253 nt
Filed under: uncultured bacterium
Lineage: Bacteria
Description: partial 16S ribosomal RNA
Rfam family: Bacterial small subunit ribosomal RNA
Source: RNAcentral